UUAAGCGACUAAGCGUACACGGUGGAUGCCCUGGCAGUCAGAGGCGAUGAAGGACGUGCUAAUCUGCGAUAAGCGUCGGUAAGGUGAUAUGAACCGUUAUAACCGGCGAUUUCCGAAUGGGGAAACCCAGUGUGUUUCGACACACUAUCAUUAACUGAAUCCAUAGGUUAAUGAGGCGAACCGGGGGAACUGAAACAUCUAAGUACCCCGAGGAAAAGAAAUCAACCGAGAUCCCCAGUAGCGGCGAGCGAACGGGGAGCAGCCCAGAGCCUGAAUCAGUGUGUGUGUUAGUGGAAGCGUCUGGAAAGGCGCGCGAUACAGGGUGACAGCCCCGUACACAAAAAUGCACAUGCUGUGAGCUCGAUGAGUAGGGCGGGACACGUGGUAUCCUGUCUGAAUAUGGGGGGACCAUCCUCCAAGGCUAAAUACUCCUGACUGACCGAUAGUGAACCAGUACCGUGAGGGAAAGGCGAAAAGAACCCCGGCGAGGGGAGUGAAAAAGAACCUGAAACCGUGUACGUACAAGCAGUGGGAGCACAGAGCAAUCUGUGUGACUGCGUACCUUUUGUAUAAUGGGUCAGCGACUUAUAUUCUGUAGCAAGGUUAACCGAAUAGGGGAGCCGAAGGGAAACCGAGUCUUAACUGGGCGUUAAGUUGCAGGGUAUAGACCCGAAACCCGGUGAUCUAGCCAUGGGCAGGUUGAAGGUUGGGUAACACUAACUGGAGGACCGAACCGACUAAUGUUGAAAAAUUAGCGGAUGACUUGUGGCUGGGGGUGAAAGGCCAAUCAAACCGGGAGAUAGCUGGUUCUCCCCGAAAGCUAUUUAGGUAGCGCCUCGUGAAUUCAUCUCCGGGGGUAGAGCACUGUUUCGGCAAGGGGGUCAUCCCGACUUACCAACCCGAUGCAAACUGCGAAUACCGGAGAAUGUUAUCACGGGAGACACACGGCGGGUGCUAACGUCCGUCGUGAAGAGGGAAACAACCCAGACCGCCAGCUAAGGUCCCAAAGUCAUGGUUAAGUGGGAAACGAUGUGGGAAGGCCCAGACAGCCAGGAUGUUGGCUUAGAAGCAGCCAUCAUUUAAAGAAAGCGUAAUAGCUCACUGGUCGAGUCGGCCUGCGCGGAAGAUGUAACGGGGCUAAACCAUGCACCGAAGCUGCGGCAGCGACGCUUAUGCGUUGUUGGGUAGGGGAGCGUUCUGUAAGCCUGCGAAGGUGUGCUGUGAGGCAUGCUGGAGGUAUCAGAAGUGCGAAUGCUGACAUAAGUAACGAUAAAGCGGGUGAAAAGCCCGCUCGCCGGAAGACCAAGGGUUCCUGUCCAACGUUAAUCGGGGCAGGGUGAGUCGACCCCUAAGGCGAGGCCGAAAGGCGUAGUCGAUGGGAAACAGGUUAAUAUUCCUGUACUUGGUGUUACUGCGAAGGGGGGACGGAGAAGGCUAUGUUGGCCGGGCGACGGUUGCCCGGUUUAAGCGUGUAGGCUGGUUUUCCAGGCAAAUCCGGAAAAUCAAGGCUGAGGCGUGAUGACGAGGCACUACGGUGCUGAAGCAACAAAUGCCCUGCUUCCAGGAAAAGCCUCUAAGCAUCAGGUAACAUCAAAUCGUACCCCAAACCGACACAGGUGGUCAGGUAGAGAAUACCAAGGCGCUUGAGAGAACUCGGGUGAAGGAACUAGGCAAAAUGGUGCCGUAACUUCGGGAGAAGGCACGCUGAUAUGUAGGUGAAGUCCCUCGCGGAUGGAGCUGAAAUCAGUCGAAGAUACCAGCUGGCUGCAACUGUUUAUUAAAAACACAGCACUGUGCAAACACGAAAGUGGACGUAUACGGUGUGACGCCUGCCCGGUGCCGGAAGGUUAAUUGAUGGGGUUAGCGCAAGCGAAGCUCUUGAUCGAAGCCCCGGUAAACGGCGGCCGUAACUAUAACGGUCCUAAGGUAGCGAAAUUCCUUGUCGGGUAAGUUCCGACCUGCACGAAUGGCGUAAUGAUGGCCAGGCUGUCUCCACCCGAGACUCAGUGAAAUUGAACUCGCUGUGAAGAUGCAGUGUACCCGCGGCAAGACGGAAAGACCCCGUGAACCUUUACUAUAGCUUGACACUGAACAUUGAGCCUUGAUGUGUAGGAUAGGUGGGAGGCUUUGAAGUGUGGACGCCAGUCUGCAUGGAGCCGACCUUGAAAUACCACCCUUUAAUGUUUGAUGUUCUAACGUGGACCCGUAAUCCGGGUUGCGGACAGUGUCUGGUGGGUAGUUUGACUGGGGCGGUCUCCUCCUAAAGAGUAACGGAGGAGCACGAAGGUUGGCUAAUCCUGGUCGGACAUCAGGAGGUUAGUGCAAUGGCAUAAGCCAGCUUGACUGCGAGCGUGACGGCGCGAGCAGGUGCGAAAGCAGGUCAUAGUGAUCCGGUGGUUCUGAAUGGAAGGGCCAUCGCUCAACGGAUAAAAGGUACUCCGGGGAUAACAGGCUGAUACCGCCCAAGAGUUCAUAUCGACGGCGGUGUUUGGCACCUCGAUGUCGGCUCAUCACAUCCUGGGGCUGAAGUAGGUCCCAAGGGUAUGGCUGUUCGCCAUUUAAAGUGGUACGCGAGCUGGGUUUAGAACGUCGUGAGACAGUUCGGUCCCUAUCUGCCGUGGGCGCUGGAGAAUUGAGGGGGGCUGCUCCUAGUACGAGAGGACCGGAGUGGACGCAUCACUGGUGUUCGGGUUGUCAUGCCAAUGGCACUGCCCGGUAGCUAAAUGCGGAAGAGAUAAGUGCUGAAAGCAUCUAAGCACGAAACUUGCCCCGAGAUGAGUUCUCCCUGACUCCUUGAGAGUCCUGAAGGAACGUUGAAGACGACGACGUUGAUAGGCCGGGUGUGUAAGCGCAGCGAUGCGUUGAGCUAACCGGUACUAAUGAACCGUGAGGCUUAACCUU
RNAcentral lists this ribosomal RNA (2901 nucleotides) under Escherichia coli DEC13A. RNAcentral's name for it is "bacterial LSU rRNA". It matches the Rfam family "Bacterial large subunit ribosomal RNA". Lineage: Bacteria; Pseudomonadati; Pseudomonadota; Gammaproteobacteria; Enterobacterales; Enterobacteriaceae. The record is from RNAcentral.